RNAcentral lists this ribosomal RNA (460 nucleotides) under uncultured bacterium. Its description in RNAcentral is "partial 16S ribosomal RNA". It matches the Rfam family "Bacterial small subunit ribosomal RNA", at positions 338 to 795 of the family's 1533-position model. The record is from RNAcentral.
CCUACGGGCGGCAGCAGUGAGGAAUAUUGGUCAAUGGACGAGAGUCUGAACCAGCCAAGUAGCGUGAAGGAUGACUGCCCUAUGGGUUGUAAACUUCUUUUAUAUGGGAAUAAAACGUUCAACGUGUGGGAUUUUGUAUGUACCAUAUGAAUAAGGAUCGGCUAACUCCGUGCCAGCAGCCGCGGUAAUACAGAGGAUCCGAGCGUUAUCCGGAUUUAUUGGGUUUAAAGGGAGCGUAGGUGGCUUGUUAAGUCAGUUGUGAAAGUUUGCGGCUCAACCGUAAAAUUGCAGUUGAAACUGGCAGUCUUGAGUACAGUAGAGGUAGGCGGAAUUCGUGGUGUAGCGGUGAAAUGCUUAGAUAUCACGAAGAACUCCGAUUGCGAAGGCAGUUCACUGGACUGCAACUGACACUGAGGCUCGAAAGUGUGGGUAUCAAACAGGAUUAGAUACCCCUGUAGUC